UCAACUCUGAUCUUUGCAAGUUAUUGCAAAUUGAAAGAAGUGUCACAGCAGCAUACCAUCCACAGACCAAUGGUCUAGAUGAAAAGACCAAUGACAACAUAAAAAGAGCCCUCCGAAAAAUGGUGAAUGACCAGCAGAAUAACUGGGAUCUGUAUCUAGAUCCCACCCUGUUUUCACUGCGGUCAAAAGUACACACCACAACAAAAUACACACCUUUUUUUCUGAUGUAUGGAAGAGAGGCAGUAUUUCCAUCAGAAGUGCCUGCUCAAGUGCUGAUUUCCAACAUCAUUCUGCCAGACAACAAAAGGUACAGUGACUAUGUACAGUCUGAAAGUGAAG
Molecule: non-coding RNA, 339 nt
Organism: Neolamprologus brichardi
Lineage: Eukaryota; Metazoa; Chordata; Actinopteri; Cichliformes; Cichlidae
Source: RefSeq, a predicted model, not a curated record